RNAcentral lists this ribosomal RNA (253 nucleotides) under uncultured bacterium. RNAcentral describes it as "partial 16S ribosomal RNA". It matches the Rfam family "Bacterial small subunit ribosomal RNA", at positions 524 to 776 of the family's 1533-position model. The record is from RNAcentral.
UACGAAGGGAGCUAGCGUUGUUCGGAAUCACUGGGCGUAAAGCGCACGUAGGCGGGUUUGUCAGUCAGGGGUGAAAUCCCGGAGCUCAACUCCGGAACUGCCCUUGAUACAGCAAGCCUUGAGUCCGGAAGAGGUAGGUGGAAUUCCUAGUGUAGAGGUGAAAUUCGUAGAUAUUAGGAAGAACACCAGUGGCGAAGGCGGCCAUCUGGACCAUUUCUGACGCUGAGGCGCGAAAGCGUGGGGAGCAAACAGG